GACGAACGCUGGCGGCGUGCUUAACACAUGCAAGUCGAACGGAAAGGCCCUGCUUUUGUGGGGUGCUCGAGUGGCGAACGGGUGAGUAACACGUGAGUAACCUGCCCUUGACUUUGGGAUAACUUCAGGAAACUGGGGCUAAUACCGGAUAGGAGCUCCUGCUGCAUGGUGGGGGUUGGAAAGUUUCGGCGGUUGGGGAUGGACUCGCGGCUUAUCAGCUUGUUGGUGGGGUAGUGGCUUACCAAGGCUUUGACGGGUAGCCGGCCUGAGAGGGUGACCGGCCACAUUGGGACUGCGAUAGGGCCCAGACUCCUACGGGAGGCAGCAGUGGGGAAUAUUGCACAAUGGGCGGAAGCCUGAUGCAGCGACGCCGCGUGCGGGAUGACGGCCUUCGGGGUGUAAACCGCUUUCGCCUGUGACGAAGCGUGAGUGACGGUAAUGGGUAAAGAAGCACCGGCUAACUACGUG
Molecule: ribosomal RNA, 468 nt
Filed under: uncultured bacterium
Lineage: Bacteria
Description: partial 16S ribosomal RNA
Rfam family: Bacterial small subunit ribosomal RNA
Source: RNAcentral